UGUUACAUUUCUGCAGUGUCUGUCAAUAAUUAUUUCUUUUUAAAUAAAUCAUAACGGACGUGAAUAGAAACUAGUUUUACGUAGUAUCUGUUUUAUAAUAAAUAUACAUAUGAGAUGGAUUAAACGUGUGGGUUUGUUUGAUAAAGAAACGAACGGUAGAAUUUGUAAUAGUCAGUUGUAUUAAAAUCAAUACAAAUACAAGAGAUAGUGUAUGUCAGUUAUAAUCGUCGUUCGCUUAACGCUAUUAUGCCGAUCGAAAAAAUAAUAACAAUAAUAUCCUAGGGAACACGUUUAUACAUCGGCGGACGUUACCACAAAAAGUUAACCUUCUUAUGUAACUCCGGCUGAAGAUUACAAGAAACGGCAAUAACAAUCUGUUCUGAAUUCACUUGCCUUUAGACUUUUUAAACCAAAACAAUCGUUAAUAUUCAAAGGUACAAUAAUAUGAUUCUCUCUCAUUCCAUUUAAACUUUUUUCGAUAUAUAAAAAAUAGCCACUUUUUGUUGUUUGUAUCAAUAUUCGAAAGGCAUCUGUGAUUAAAGUUCGUAUAGAUCGUUUCAUGUUCUUACUAUUGUUCGUAUAUAUUCGUACACUUGUAUAAUAACUUAUAUAAGUAAAAAUAAUUUAUAUAAAUUUAUAGGAAAAUUAGUAGUUGGGUUACGACUCAGCCUUCUUACUACAAUCCAAGUAUCAACUUUACGUGACAGGUGCAUGGAAAAUUGUUUAAAUCAAGAGUGGAGAAAAUCUUUGCGCCUUGUAGCUUCCAUAUUUUACGAUAGUCUACGCAUAAUCGCACUGGAUCAUUUCUCUUUUUAACUACAACUAUCGGACUCGUAUAUUCGGACAAGGAGAGCUGAACGACCCCAUCGCGCAGACACUCAUCCAACUGUUUAUUUACCUUACUCUUAAGAUAAUCGACGUGCUCGAUAAACCAGUUCGUUACGUUUCGCUACAAUCGAUCUUUUGAUUUUACAUUCUUCGGUCAUCAAAGAAGAAAUUGGCAGGUACGCAAAAAAAUACAAGGAAAGAACGGCAACACAUCCAAACCAGCUGAAGCGAGCAAAACCCUCGUACAAAGAAGACUAAAAAGAAAACAUCUCACUAAUCUCACUAAAGAAAUAAAAUAGUCAAACUCGAAGAUGGUAUCCCGCUGGGGAGAGCCAUCCACAUGAUAUUCAGCAAUUGAGUUAGAAAAAUUUACCAAAUGUCCAGCUGGACAAAUUGUAAAGUAUAAAUUAAAUGAUAAUAAUAAUAAUUCUGCGAUCCCUCAAACGAUCGUUUUUAACCGUUGUACACUUAUCAUCGAGGCUAAACUGCCGCUGUUACGAGAUAUUUACAGAGUCUGCAUUCGUCGCGUAAGUUCAACUUCGCGACGCACUAGUUUAAGUUCGCGUUGCAUAGGUUACAUAUCGCGGUUCAUUCCCGCAAUCUUAUUCUCAACGCUAGAAUUGAUUGUAAUUUUAAUAAAUAUUAAAAAAAAAAAAUUCCCGCAAUCUUUAGAAUCGUGCACUCCCAUCAUAUUUUAGUGUAUAUAUUAUACAACAUUGUACAAUGUACAAUAUUUGUUUCAGAGGGGAUACGUUUUUCGUAACUCGUACUCGCGUUAUCAACCUCGCUGCGACUUCGAUACUUAAGCGACAUAAUCCGUGCAAAUGAAAUGCGUCACUAUCCGUGUAAAUUAUAUUUCUCAUAUCUGGAAUAUUUAGAUUUCUGUUUCUUAAAACGUAUGAAUUCCUUAAUUAUUACAAACGUAAUAUAUUUUUAUACAGACGUUAAUUCUUUUUUUUGUUUUAAUUUUUCCAUCGAGACAACGAUCUACAGUGAGAUCCGUUAUAACGAGAUGUAAUAAAGUGCACGCGUACCGAGCGAAAAUUCAAUGUCGAUUUUCUCGGAAACAAAGCCUCAAACGAAAAAUUGUUAUUCUAUAUUUUCGACUUCUUUUUUCACGUAGAAUCACCCCCUUUCCGCUUGUACCACCAGUUACCAACCACCCUGUAUAAGACUAUUAUUUCGAUUUUGAUUGUUAUUUAGUUACGAUCGUAGAUAUAAUGUUAAUGGAUAUACGCGAUCCUAGAUUCUACAAUAUUAGUUUCAUGAAAUCUUAGAGCUGAAUCACCGAUAUUCGGCGUACCUGUGGCAUCUCCAAAUGUGGCAAAGGUCAGCUAAAGAUGAGACGCUGUGGGCGUCUAAUAUUGAAUUUUAAUACAUCACUGACAACGAAUAUCCCGGUAAAUCUAUGUCGCAUCGAUUUAGUAGAACACUUAUUUUCCAGCUUGGUAAAAAAAUUCGAAACGAGCGAACAACGUUCCAACAUAUAAAAAUAUUUCAUGCGUCUUAUAUAAUAUUUCUUUUACAUAAUAACGUUCAAAAAUUACCAUCGAUAAUUCAUUUACUUUAAUAACGAAUAUUCAAAUGCUUCUGCUAUCUAAAUUUAAUGCAACUGGGAAAAAGGAAUGGAAUAAUUAUUUAUCAGAUAUACGAAUCGAACGAUCUUUCGAAAGAAUUGCGAAAGGUUAAAAGACGAAAGAAGUAAAAGAAAAAGCUAUCAAAUACUGUUUACAUUUUCGACGACAACGAACUCGAAAUAGCAAAGUCAACCUGUUUUUAUUAAAAAACCAUUGUCGAUUAAAGAGCUGCUCGUUCAUUCGUUUUUGCGGUCAACGUGUGUUUUCUCGCGUUUCACAGCACUUCGUUCUUUUCCACGUAGCAUAAAAUCUGCGCAUGCGUGAAAAAUAGAUGAACGGUAUCUAGCAAUAAGUGUAAUUCACGUCAUAUUUUAUGUCAAGAACAUAUGACUGUAACAAAUCUCACGUUAUUGAAGACUACGAAACCUUUCUAAUUUUCGUAACGAAACGUCCAAACCAUGUCACAUCAAUUUAAUUGUUAUUCGAUAGAAAUAUAUUUUUUUUUUAUUUAUUUACAUUUUACAAUUUGUCCAGUAGGACAUUUGGUAAAAUAUUAUAGCUUAGUGGUAUAAUAAUAUAAUAUGUGGAUGGCUAUCCCCAGUGGAAUACCAUCUUCGAAUUUGAUUGAUUUAUUUCUUUAAUGUGAAAUGUGACACUAAAGGCCUAAUUUUUUAACGAUCCAACUAUCAAACACAAAACGCUCGAAGGUAAUUGCAACGACCACCAAAGAUAUUUGCAUCUUUUCUUACCGUCCAACGAAGCGUUCCCUUAGGUUCCAUACGUUUCGUUUGGACAGCGGCAAAUUUUUGUCAUCAUACAUGAAGCUAUAUAUUAUUAAAUGAUACGAAAUUAAAUAUGUUUGGAAUUGCAAAAGACGAGUUACGAGAAAUGUAAUCUAAGACCAGAUAAAAAGUAGAAAUAAACCUUAGAAGAGCAAACGAGUAUAGUAAAAUAUUAACGAUGGAUUUGAUAUAUAUACAGGGUGGUUGGUAACUGGUGGUACAAGCGGAAAGGGGGUGAUUCUACGCGAAAAAGGAAGUCGAAAAUAUAGAAUAAAAAUUUUUUUUAAUUUUUUUUUUUUUU
Molecule: long non-coding RNA, 3488 nt
Organism: Bombus huntii
Lineage: Eukaryota; Metazoa; Arthropoda; Insecta; Hymenoptera; Apidae
Exons: 2
Source: RefSeq, a predicted model, not a curated record